UGGGGAAUUUUGGACAAUGGGGGCAACCCUGAUCCAGCCAUGCCGCGUGCGGGAAGAAGGCCUUCGGGUUGUAAACCGCUUUUAGCCGGGAAGAAAAGGCGCGAGCUAAUACCUUGCGUUUUUGACGGUACCGGCGGAAUAAGCACCGGCUAACUACGUGCCAGCAGCCGCGGUAAUACGUAGGGUGCGAGCGUUAAUCGGAAUUACUGGGCGUAAAGCGUGCGCAGGCGGUUCGUUGUGUCGGUGGUGAAAGCCCCGGGCUUAACCUGGGAAUGGCCAUGGAAACUGGCGAACUGGAGUGUGGCAGAGGGGGGUGGAAUUCCGCGUGUAGCAGUGAAAUGCGUAGAGAUGCGGAGGAACACCGAUGGCGAAGGCAGCCCCCUGGGCUAGCACUGACGCUCAGGCACGAAAGCGUGGGGAGCAAACAG
This 428-nucleotide ribosomal RNA is filed under the name uncultured bacterium. RNAcentral's name for it is "bacterial SSU rRNA". It matches the Rfam family "Bacterial small subunit ribosomal RNA", at positions 355 to 775 of the family's 1533-position model. The record is from RNAcentral.